GUGCCAGCAGCCGCGGUAAUACGAAGGGGGCUAGCGUUGUUCGGAAUUACUGGGCGUAAAGCGCGCGUAGGCGGGUGACUAAGUCAGGGGUGAAAUGCCGAGGCUCAACCUCGGAACUGCCUUUGAUACUGGUCGCCUGGAGUUCGGGAGAGGUAAGUGGAAUUCCGAGUGUAGAGGUGAAAUUCGUAGAUAUUCGGAGGAACACCAGAAGCGAAGGCGGCUUACUGGCCCGAUACUGACGCUGAGGCGCGAAAGCGUGGGGAGCAAACAGGAUUAGAAACCCUGGUAGUCC
Molecule: ribosomal RNA, 292 nt
Filed under: uncultured bacterium
Lineage: Bacteria
Description: partial 16S ribosomal RNA
Rfam family: Bacterial small subunit ribosomal RNA
Source: RNAcentral